GAUGAAGAACGUAGCGAAAUGCGAUACUUGGUGUGAAUUGCAGAAUCCCGUGAACCAUCGAGUCUUUGAACGCAAGUUGCGCCUCAAGCCAUUAGGUUGAGGGCACGUCUGCCUGGGCGUCACAUAUCGUUGCCUGAUGCCAGUUUCCUCGUGAUGGGUGACUGUGCAGGGCGAAUGAAGGCUUCCCGUGAGCAUUGUUGCCUCAUGGUUGGUUGAAAAUUGAGUCCUUGGUAGGGAGCGCCGUGAUAGAUGGUGGUUGAGUGACGAACGAGACCCAAUCAUGUGAGACCCCUACCGAAUUUGGCCUUCAUGACCCACAUGCGUCUUUGGAACGCUCAUGACGAGACCUCAGGUCAGGCGGGGCUACCCGCUGAGUUUAAGCAUAUCAAUAAGCGGAGGA
RNAcentral lists this unclassified non-coding RNA (400 nucleotides) under soil metagenome. RNAcentral's name for it is "partial contains 5.8S ribosomal RNA, internal transcribed spacer 2, and large subunit ribosomal RNA". The stretch from base 1 to 122 matches the Rfam family "5.8S ribosomal RNA", at positions 35 to 154 of the family's 154-position model. The record is from RNAcentral.